RNAcentral lists this ribosomal RNA (273 nucleotides) under uncultured bacterium. Its description in RNAcentral is "partial 16S ribosomal RNA". It matches the Rfam family "Bacterial small subunit ribosomal RNA", at positions 333 to 603 of the family's 1533-position model. The record is from RNAcentral.
UCGGUCCUACGGGACGCAGCAGUGAGGAAUGUUAGUCAAUGGGCGCGAGCCUGAACCAGCCAAGUAGCGUGAAGGAUGACUGCCCUACGGGUUGUAAGCUUCUUUUAUAAAGGAAUAAAGUGAGGCACGUGUGCCUUUUUGUAUGUAUUUUAUGAAUAAGGAUCGGCUAACUCCGUGCCAGCAGCCGCGGUAAUACGGAGGAUCCGAGCGUUAUCCGGAUUUUUUGGGUUUAAAUGGAGCGUAGAUGGGUUGUUAAGUCAGUUUUGAAAGUUU